CCACUCUUAGACCCGCCUCACUAACUCUCUGAUUGGACGGCAUCACUGUGGAAGUGUGUCAGUCAAUAGUUUUUUCGCUCAGUGACACUGCGGCUGUAUGUCCGGACAUGUAGAGCUCAUAGCGGCUUGGCCUUUGUUAGCGAGUCGCUGAGAAGAACCAGGGAAGCCGGAGGAGCCGCAUUCAUGCGCUUACAGGGAGGAAAAUGAUCAUCUGCACGAAAAACAUGGACUAUCGCCUUGGAACACAGUACCAGUUUGUUCAAAAUCAGUACCUCCUGCAGCCUGCGGGGGCCGCUGUUGUGGUGGCGCUGCUCUGCAUACAGGAGAACAACAGAGGAAUGUGUCAUUUAAACAUUUCUCAGAAAUAUGCUCUCAUUUGCCAGCCCAUAAAAAAAUCCCAUAGGCUUGUACUUGGAUUGUUAACAUUAUAAACUCGUUUUCUUUUUUCCCUCAACUAACCACUGGUCCAUUUGUAAGUGAGAAGUAUUAUAAUGGCAUUGUAUGCGUUUCAGAGCUCCCUGAUAUGUUUCACAUAGAGAGCAUUUUUAAUGUCCUGACUAUGCUGCUUUUGUAACCUUGUCAGAACAGUAUGGUAAAAUAAGUUUAAAAACAUGUAAUGCAACCGCAAUCUAUUAUGUAGCUUAUGGCACGCACAUACACACACAUAUAUAUGUUUGAGGCAUAACUGACCAUGAUUGACUAAUGGAUAUAAAGACCACAAAGCACAAAGAUGGCAAAAUUACAGACAUAACAGAUUUCACCAGCAAACCAAAUCUUGGACUUUCCAGACGGAAAUGUGAUUCAUCAAUAAUCUGUCUUCACUUCACUGUCCGUCAUAUGCAAGCUGCUGAAUGUGUGUCACACUGUCGGUUUAUGUAAAUGUCAGUCUUCCUGCUUAUCUGACUGCAUCCAUAUGUGGCUUGCCGUGUUUGUCUGUGUGUGUGUGUGUGUGUGUGUGUGUGUGUGUGUGUGUGUGUUUGCUGCCGGCCUUGUUUCAGUCCAACCCCCUGUGAGGUGCAGCUGGCUGUUUUGUUCUUCCUAGCUUCCAGGUUGGCAAGCCGAAAAUAGUUUCCUUUGUAGAGAGGGAGAGAGAUGGGGUUUGUGCAACAGCAGUUGGCAAGUCAAGGACUGAGCCCUCCAGGCCUUCUGAGAAUGCAGAUUGAAUAUCGCAUCUCGCUCUUAUUCUGGACUCAGGCCCUGAACUGAAGCCCCCUGUCAUUUAGAGCCUCAUGUUUAGACCGUCCUCAAAUGACAAAAGAUGAGCAGCAGGCUUAUGUUUGUCUGUUUUAUUUAAGUAGUGAUAUGUCGCACAAUUAAAAGGGAUCGUUCAUCCACUAAUAAAAAUUCUGGCAUCAUUUACUCGUGUAGUUUCAACCCUGUAUGACUAACCCAAAGGUUGCGAGUUCAAGUCUCCGGUCCGGCAGGAAUUGUAGGUGGGGGGAUUGAAUGUACAGCGCUCUCUCCCACCUUCAAUACCACCAGGCUUAUGUUUGUCUGUUUUAUUUAAGUAGUGAUAUGUCGCACAAUUAAAGGGAUCGUUCAUCCACUAAUAAAAAUUCUGGCAUCAUUUACUCGUGUAGUUUCAACCCUGUAUGACUAACCCAAAGGUUGCGAGUUCGAGUCUCCGGUCCGGCAGGAAUUGUAGGUGGGGGGAUUGAAUGUACAGCGCUCUCUCCCACCUUCAAUACCACGACUGAGGUGCCCUUGAGCAAGGCACUGAACCCCCAACUGCUCCCCGGGCGCCACAGCAUAAAUGGCUGCCCACUGCUCCGGGUGUGUGUUCACAGUGUGUGUGUGUUCACUUUGGAUGGGUUAAUACUUGGC
Molecule: long non-coding RNA, 1824 nt
Filed under: Sinocyclocheilus grahami
Lineage: Eukaryota; Metazoa; Chordata; Actinopteri; Cypriniformes; Cyprinidae
Description: lncRNA (ENSSGRG00000036523.1)
Source: RNAcentral